AAAUUGAAGAGUUUGAUCAUGGCUCAGAUUGAACGCUGGCGGCAGGCCUAACACAUGCAAGUCGAACGGUAACAGGAAGAAGCUUGCUUCUUUGCUGACGAGUGGCGGACGGGUGAGUAAUGUCUGGGAAACUGCCUGAUGGAGGGGGAUAACUACUGGAAACGGUAGCUAAUACCGCAUAACGUCGCAAGACCAAAGAGGGGGACCUUCGGGCCUCUUGCCAUCGGAUGUGCCCAGAUGGGAUUAGCUUGUUGGUGGGGUAACGGCUCACCAAGGCGACGAUC
Molecule: ribosomal RNA, 284 nt
Filed under: Escherichia coli
Lineage: Bacteria; Pseudomonadati; Pseudomonadota; Gammaproteobacteria; Enterobacterales; Enterobacteriaceae
Description: partial 16S ribosomal RNA
Rfam family: Bacterial small subunit ribosomal RNA
Source: RNAcentral